RNAcentral lists this long non-coding RNA (356 nucleotides) under Erythranthe guttata (spotted monkey flower). RNAcentral's name for it is "long non-coding RNA (EGUT_LNC000661)". Lineage: Eukaryota; Viridiplantae; Streptophyta; Magnoliopsida; Lamiales; Phrymaceae. The record is from RNAcentral.
CUGCAGCUACUCGAAAUACUUGUUCCACUAAAUGUAAGAUCAAAUUAAAAGACAAACAAAAAAAAACACCAUGAAAUGACUAAAUAUACCCAUCACUUAGAUCAUUUCAUCUUUUUUUUUUCGAGACCAAAAAACAAGGUUUAAGUUUGGAAAAGUAAAAGAAGCGGAAUAAGAAAAACACUUUGCCGGACCCCUUCACCGUAAAGUUUGAAAAACCAAAAAAAAAAAAAAACGGUACAUCGUAAUUAGAAAAGCCAAUUUGCCAGACCCUUUCACAGUCGCCCUGAAAUCUCCAAGACAAAACCCCUUCACCGUCGCUGCCUGAGUCCGUUGCCGCCUAUGUCCGUCUCCCGAUC